CUCAGAUCACGACUUGAAAAAGUCAGGCACGUAAAAAAAAAAAGACAACCAGGAACAUCGUCAAAACCUGAGUCCCAACCAGUUCAAAAUCCAUAUCUACUGCGCCAUAAUCCUCCAACAAUCCAUAAAACCCAAAAGAGACAACUACAAAUCAUUUUCGUUACAAAUUCUCGACAAUCAAGUUUUCUCCAAGUAAAAUGGAAAACCUUGCCCAAUUAUAAAUAAGGGUUUCCUUCGAUCCAAUUAACAUCAUUUUUACGACCUCAGCGGUGUUAAUAAAACCCUCUACCUUUCAUGGCAUACAAACUUCGCUCCCCAGUCAAGUUAAAUUUCAAAUCUCUUUCACAUUGAGAACAAUUCGAUUAUUAAUUACCUUGGAGAUGCUCUUGCCGAAGUGCAGGUGGAGGAACGCCGGUAUCGCUUAGACCAACAGCUCAUCGGAAUCGCACCGACUUUGUGACGGAGUGGUACGGGCUAUGGCCGGAGGGAGUGUUGAGGGAAGAAGAGUUGGGGAAGAAAAAAAGGAAUUCGAGGGACAAACGAAGGAAAAAGGCAGGAUUCCGACUGUUUAAUUUAGUCGGGUUUAAUGAGGUGGGGCAAGGAGGUCAGACGUGAUACGGUCGGGAACGGAAGUCAGAGCUUAAAGGUCGGACACUCAGAUCACGACUUGAAAAAGUCAGGCAAUCAAUGUCUGUUCUAAAUAUUACCUUAAAUUUUUGCAGUCGAAAUUGGACAAGGAUGACUGUUUGCAAAACCUUGUCGAGGAACAGAUUCAGAGUUAAUUCAAUCUUGUCCUCUCUUGUAAUGUUAUUAAGGUAGAUCCUUUUGUAAAGUAACAGCUUCUCCAUACUCUUAAAACUUUAUUUCAGUAUUUCUUUCAUGAUCA
Molecule: long non-coding RNA, 886 nt
Organism: Andrographis paniculata
Lineage: Eukaryota; Viridiplantae; Streptophyta; Magnoliopsida; Lamiales; Acanthaceae
Exons: 2
Source: RefSeq, a predicted model, not a curated record